GAAGGGGGCUAGCGUUGCUCGGAAUUACUGGGCGUAAAGGGCGCGUAGGCGGAUAUUUAAGUUAGAGGUGAAAGCCCAGGGCUCAACCCUGGAAUAGCCUUUAAUACUGGAUAUCUUGAGUUCGGGAGAGGUGAGUGGAACUCCGAGUGUAGAGGUGAAAUUCGUAGAUAUUCGGAAGAACACCAGUGGCGAAGGCGACUCACUGGCCCGAUACUGACGCUGAGGCGCGAAAGCGUGGGGAGCAAACAGGAUUAGAUACCCUGGUAGUCCACGCUGUAAACGAUGAGUGCUAGUUGUCGGCAUGCAUGCAUGUCGGUGACGCAGCUAACGCAUUAAGCACUCCGCCUGGGGAGUACGGUCGCAAGAUUA
RNAcentral lists this ribosomal RNA (369 nucleotides) under uncultured bacterium. RNAcentral's name for it is "bacterial SSU rRNA". It matches the Rfam family "Bacterial small subunit ribosomal RNA", at positions 527 to 896 of the family's 1533-position model. The record is from RNAcentral.